AGGCUGGGCACCAAUUUUCUGUUGACUGCUCAUGUUUAUUUUACUCAUUUUUUUGUAUGUGCUUAUGUUCUACACAAACAAAGUGCACACGCUUUUUUUAUCAGUUUGACCAACGUGUGUUACUCGUUGAGCUCACACGGAUGAACCGAGGUCAAAAUUAAACUAGUCAAGUGGUUAAACGACCUGGAUUAUACACACGAUCACAUGAAGACUAAAAUGAUCGCGUGAACGCCAUCGGAGGACAAUUCUGGCAUGUGAGUCUUCGUGGAUGCAAUGCGUCAGACAGAUAUGGCCCCGCGCUUUCUCUAUAUUUUCGUCUUACUGCGAAGAAAGCGGAAAUGACGAUCGGUCCGCCAUGAUAUCUACGUCAUCAGCCUUCACCCUGUGACCCGGGAAUUACGCCUGCUUUCACAGAUGUCGCAUCCCGGCAGUGUACCGCGCCUCUCUGACUUGGAUGUCUUUGGGAAAUGUGCAUCUGCAUCGCCUGUCACUCUCUGGGAGGCAUGCCAAGCACCGCUUGAUUGACGUCCGAAUCGGCUUGCCAUGAAGGGACCGUCUUGCAUAGUUCAGUGACCAACAUAUGUACGCGGGGGGGAAAAAGGACAUUUGUGGGCAAAGUGUGAUGUGAGUGAAUCA
Long non-coding RNA from Corythoichthys intestinalis (scribbled pipefish), 636 nucleotides. RefSeq lists it as uncharacterized. The transcript has 3 exons. Lineage: Eukaryota; Metazoa; Chordata; Actinopteri; Syngnathiformes; Syngnathidae. The record is from RefSeq and is a predicted model, not a curated record.